AAUCAACGCUGGCGGCGUGCCUCAGACAUGCAAGUCGAACGAUUAAAGCUCUCUUCGGAGAGUGCAUAGAGUGGCGCACGGGUGAGUAACACGUAAGUAAUCUACCUUCGAGUGGGGAAUAACGUCCGGAAACGGGCGCUAAUACCGCAUAAUGCAGCGGCAUCGCAAGAUGACAGUUGUUAAAGGAGCAAUCCGCUUGAAGAGGAGCUUGCGGCAGAUUAGCUAGUUGGUAGGGUAAUGGCCUACCAAGGCUACGAUCUGUAACCGGUCUUAGAGGACGGUCGGUCACACUGACACUGAAUAACGGGUCAGACUCCUACGGGAGGCAGCAGUCGGGAAUUUUGGGCAAUGGGGGAAACCCUGACCCAGCAACGCCGCGUGAAGGAUGAAGUAUUUCGGUAUGUAAACUUCGAAAGAAUAGGAAGAAUUAAUGACGGUACUAUUUAUAAGGUCCGGCUAACUACGUAG
RNAcentral lists this ribosomal RNA (468 nucleotides) under uncultured bacterium. RNAcentral describes it as "bacterial SSU rRNA". It matches the Rfam family "Bacterial small subunit ribosomal RNA", at positions 32 to 508 of the family's 1533-position model. The record is from RNAcentral.